Molecule: long non-coding RNA, 1375 nt
Filed under: Prunus persica (peach)
Lineage: Eukaryota; Viridiplantae; Streptophyta; Magnoliopsida; Rosales; Rosaceae
Description: long non-coding RNA (PPER_LNC007833)
Source: RNAcentral
CUACCAAAAUUUUGGCAGAGUCUCCCCUGUAAUUUAAGCAAUCCCAACAAAAAAUUACUCAACCUGCAACAUACAUAAAAUAAAAAUAAUCCCAACCAGCAGCAUGCUUUCAAAAAUCUACAAGUUAUACUAGAGUGGCCUCCGACCUCACAAAUAAAAUCUACCAUGGGCAAUACAGAGCAUCUAGUAAAUUUAGAUUACAAGAAUAGUUGAGUAGAAGAAAUUACUCAGUUCUUAACUAGAAAGAUGCACAGUUUGAGCUUCGUACACCACUUGCACGCUUCCUGGAGCGACUACUGGCUGGGGUGGCGCAAAACAGAAAACAUGUGAGUGGACAAAGACAGAUUUGCAGUUAAAAACAAUAUAGUAACCCCACCAUGUAAAAAUAAUGCUCAAGUCAUGCAGGUUCACAAUUCAAUAAUUAAUUACUCAAAACAUGAAUCAUUAAAACUCUUCUAAAAACACCAGUUGUCUCCUUUAAAAAAAUAAUCCCAUUCUCUCAAUCUUACACUCCUGUCAACUACCAAACAAACUCUAACUCCUUACACACUCAACUAUACGUAUACAUAUAAAUAUACAUAUAUAUAUAAAUAUAACUAUCAAAAGUUAUACGAUAUACUCAUCACACCACCUAGGUACCGGGGAAACAAUCAAACUGGGAGAUCGUUUGACUAGUCCGCAGGAUUUCCAGGUGCUAUCCUGCGUCUAGAGAUGAGCGGUCCAACCGGGGGACGAAACUUCAAAGUUCCCACACCGGAACAUCCAACGCCAUAUGUAGCUCACAACUAUGUCCUACGCGCGCAGACUGGAUCAUCACACACUGGAACAUCCAACGCCAUAGUGAUGACCCUAAACUCUAUACAAAGUCUUUCCAUACGCCGGAACAUCCAACGCCGCAUAUGGAAAGUGUCUCACAAGCCGGAACAUCCAACGCCGCGAGUGAGACUAGUAAUUGGUGAAGGUACUUACAUAGUGUAAUCAUACAACUUCUCUCAAAAUCAAAUUCUUCCACAACACCCUCCAACAACCCAAGUAUCUCGUCUAAAGAGAAUAUAUAUAAAUAUACUUCCCCACAACCCAUAUAAAAUGCACUCUCAAAACCCACAAUGCCAAACUCACAAUAUAUUGCCAAGUGCUAUACAACCAUCAUAAUCAACUCAUGAAUAUAAUAUAUAUUCCAUCAGCCAUUAAAACAUUAUGCAAAAAUCUUUCAUCAAUUAAAACCACGCAUACGAUUGAAAACAAAGUCCACUCACAAGUAUUCCCACGCUGCCUGACCACGUGAGGGUUCUGCUUGCUGCGUACGUGUAGUCGAAACACCUAUUUCGAGAUACGAACCGUUAAUUAAUAUAAAAUUACAUCGAAGCGAAAAUCA